UGAUGUUCGGACCCGCCAGCUCCGGGAGAGGCUCAGCCCGGCGCCCGCGCCCCGCGCCCGCAGCCCGCCCAGGCGGAGUCAGCCCGCGCUCCGCCCGCCGCGCUCCGGGCUCGGAGGUCCGGUCUCCGGGCUCGCCGCCUCCGGGGCCGGCUCCGCACCCCCGCGCCCCGCGCCCCGCGCCCCCGCGGGCGGAGCGCACCAUGCCGCAGCUGGACUCGGGCGGGGGCGGCGCGAGCGGCGGCGACGACCUCGGCGCGCCGGACGAGCUGCUGGCCUUCCAGGACGAGGGCGAGGAGCAGGACGACAAGAGCCGCGACAGCGCCGUGGGCCCCGAGCGCGACCUGGCCGAGCUCAAGUCGUCGCUGGUCAAUGAGUCCGAGGGCGCGGCCGGCGACGCUGGGGUCCCGGGGGCGGGCGCCAGGGCCCGCGGCGAGGCCGAGGUCGGGGCCGAGGCUCUCGGGCGGGAACACACUUCGCAGAGACUUUUCUCCGACAAACUUCCAGAGUCUCUGGAAGAUGGCCUGAAGGCCCCGGAGUGCGCCAGCGGCAUGUACAAAGACACCGUCUACUCCGCCUUCAAUCUGCUCAUGCACUACCCACCCCCCUCGGGAGCAGGGCAGCACCCCCAGCCGCAGCCCCCGCUGCACAAAGCCAGUCAGCCUUCCCACGGCGUCCCCCAGCUCUCUCCUCUCUAUGAACAUUUCAGCAGUCCGCACCCCACACCUGCACCAGCUGACAUCAGCCAGAAGCAAGGAGUUCACAGGCCGCUGCAGACCCCUGACCUCUCCGGCUUCUACUCUCUGACCUCGGGCAGCAUGGGACAGCUCCCCCACACUGUCAGCUGGCCCAGCCCUCCUCUCUACCCCCUGUCCCCUUCCUGCGGAUAUAGACAGCACUUCCCUGCCCCCACUGCAGCCCCUGGCGCCCCCUACCCCAGGUUCACCCACCCACCCCUGAUGCUAGGCUCGGGUGUACCUGGUCACCACGCUGCCAUCCCCCACCCAGCCAUUGUGCCCCCUUCAGGGAAGCAGGAACUGCAGCCCUAUGACCGCAGCCUGAAGACGCAGGCAGAAUCCAAGGGAGAGAAGGAAGCCAAGAAGCCAACCAUCAAGAAGCCACUCAACGCCUUCAUGCUGUACAUGAAGGAGAUGAGAGCCAAGGUCAUUGCAGAGUGCACGCUCAAGGAGAGUGCUGCUAUCAACCAGAUACUGGGCCGCAGGUGGCACGCGCUGUCGCGGGAAGAGCAGGCCAAGUAUUAUGAGCUGGCCCGCAAGGAGAGGCAGCUGCACAUGCAGCUAUACCCAGGCUGGUCGGCGCGGGACAACUAUGUGAGUGGCCACCAACACACAGUAGGGAACCUUCAAGACGCCACACUGCACGCAGGCCAGUCUCACCAGGGGAGGCAGGACUACUGUCCUUAGGGCACAAACGAGGAGGGGAGGUGGCAGAAUAGAGGUCCCAGGCCUCCCCUGGAUAGCUUAGAAGGGGACCGAAUGAGGGGAGCUGCCCCUAAAAGCAGGCUGAAGGAUCCCAUUUGCCCCAGAAUGCACUUCCACACGGGGCUGCUGGCCAGUAUUUGACUGGACCACAUCAGCACAAGCGGGAGGAGAAGCCCAACUGCCCCAUGGUAAUCUAGGAAAAACUCCAACUCCAGGGCCCCCAGAUCAGGGGAGACUGUGGGCCUGGAGUCCCAGCAGCAGCCAGACUAGGCAGUUAGCUGCAGGGAUUGCACCCCUCGUCUCAGUGACAGUGUCCACCUCCCAACAUCCUGUGAACAUCCUCCCCUUUGUGCCCUGCAGGGCAAGAAGAAGAGGCGGUCAAGGGAAAAGCAUCAGGAUUCCAACACAGGAGGAAAAAGAAAUGCAUUCGGUACUUACCCGGAGAAGGCCGCUGCCCCAGCCCCGUUCCUUCCGAUGACAGUGCUCUAGGCUGCCCCAAGUCCCCAGCCCCCCAGGACUCACCCUCAUACCUCCUGCUGCCCCACUUCCCCACAGAACUGCUCGCUAGCCCUGCGGAGCCAGCGCCUACAUCACCAGGUCUCUCAGCCGCCCUCAGCCUCCCAGCCCCCUGGGCCCCUUCAGGCCUCUCACAGCGACCUGCAGAGUACACAGGUACAGCAACCGCAAUCGCAGAGAAAGGCAGCCUAGCAUGCACAGGACACACAGCUUCCUCCAGGAGCCCACUCUCUGAGAAGAGACGACAGAGCCCCAAAGCACGUGGAAACCGGCCAGGGGCCCUGUUAACUCUCUCUCAGGGUCCCAGCCCCAGAGAGUUCAGAGGCUGCCCAACUUCUGCCUGAACCUGGGCCAUCAAUUCAAACUGCUCCAAGUAGCUGGAAUCAGGUCUGUGUUGUGUCAUCUGAUUCAGAGCAUCCCUCAUGCCUCUGGCAGACUGCAUCUAUUUCUACCAUCUGUCUUGCUAGCCAAAUGCCCCUGAUCCCCUUUCUGCUUUAGUCCAUAGAUGGGCUGGACUGAGCCAAACUGCUUUCCCUACCCCACCCCAGCCCCAUCACUGCCACGCCCUCCCCAUACCAGAUACUUCAUGGACCAAGAAAGAGCUGGGUUACCCAACAACAUGUGAGCAGGUCACAACCACAAAGCUCAAGACGACAGUGCUUCUCCCUCAAGGGCCUGGAGAAGCCCUGUUUACAGAAAAUCAGCUGCUGUCUAUAAGAUGGACCAGGGGAAGCCUUUUGCCACAUUCUCAGGACCUUACAAGAAGAGCAGUGAAUGGAACAGGUUAGGUUUAGACCUAUCACAAGGGUAACAGGAAUAACCUGACACUACCUUACAGACAAGUGGGGGCGGGGGCGGGGAAUGUUCCAGUUUGAAUCACUUGGAAAUGUUCCUGAGAAACUCAACCGCCUAAGAAGCCCUGAUAACAAAUGCCCCAGUCACUAGAGGCUGCAACCAACAGUUUCAGGGCUUGAAAUCCAGCAUGCACCCCUACCCACUUUUGAGAGCCUUUCUCAUGACUGAUUUCCCGUUCAUUCACUGUCUAGCCAGCUCUUAAACAGUUGUGAGAGGGGCAAACCACACCUCACACAGAGCCAGUGCCUAUCUUCUAGCAUGAAACUAGGUUCCCUGUGAGGCUGCAGGAAGGAAGACCGUGAUAACCAAAGCAAGAAGCCCAAAAAAAUCUCCUAUAGUGGACAGUGGGUUUUCACCACAGCCUACUUUAACCCAUUUCUGAGCCAAGCUUCAACCCUGAGCCUUACACAAUAUUUUUUUUUUUUUUGGCCACUCACGGCAGGUAGAAGUUUCUAGACCAGGGACUGAACCUGCACCACAGCAGUGACCCAAGCCACUGCAGUGACAAGGCCAGGUCCUUAACCCACUGAGCCACAAGACAACUCCAAACAAAUCUUUAAAAUUUAACUUAGUUGGAGUUUUGUUUCGACUGUACAUAGCCUGAACAGCAAAGAAAAAGGGCUAUCCCCAUACCCCACACACCCCUCAACAAAAGCCUUUAGUUCUUACUUUAGCCACUGGCUUCUCUGAAUCCAAAGAGCCUAUGUUCUAGUUUAGCGCCACAAGAAUUCUUGGGAGAAAAAAGGACCACUGUAGUAUUCAAAAUAUUUUUGUAUUGUUAAUGCGUAUCAUAGAAGAACUUUUCUGACAUGAGAAUAAAGAUACUUUUUACUGGGUUUCUUUUUCGAAGCUUGACCCUGAGGAUUAAGCUGUUUCAAUAACAAGAGGAUGACACGUUCCUCUGCUUCUCCACAGCCACCAAACUUGAGCUUUACUCUCUUAGUACGCAUGUUCUCGAGAAUCAACCCACACAAGCCAGGGAUUACUCCCGUCCCCUCUCCUUAAGGGCCAUGGGCACUGCUCCAACCCAGACAACAGAGCUCAUUGAGGUGUAAGCUCCCGUUCCACGCCCUGAUCUUAACCCCCUAAUCCUCUGGCCUCACACCUGAUGCAGGCACAGGCCCGCCUGCCUCCACCGCUCAUUUGAGAAUGGGGUGGAAAUUGGUACCUACGGUCCUUAAGCCCCAACCAGAGAGAGAAGCACAUCACCACCAGGUUCCAGUUUCCUCUGAAGGCAGAGAGAAAAGAAAACACAAGUAUACAUCCUAUUUUGAGGAAAACAAAACACAGGCAUCUUUUAUAACCUGGUAUCAUCAUAAAAUCUAAAAGGAAGGUAUUUUAAAUAGCACCCUUUCCUCCCAAAGACUGUUUAAGGUACAUGAAGCAUUUCUUAAAGUAUUUCUGUUAACUUCUCGAGCCCCGUCAUGAAUGUAAAAGGCGUCAUAAAGCCAGCGCAAAUGUCAGUCAAGCAGCAGAUAUAAAUGUUGGGCAAGAAGUUAUCACAACCAGGCACGGGGCCACUGUCAUGUAUUGUAAUUUCCAUUUCACUGAGUUACACUUUUUGAAUUUUAUGUUUAAAAAUAUUUAUAAAUAAAGUCAUCUUCCAGAGUAGUGUCUAUUUAAAGUAGGCCACUGGAAGUUGUAAUCCUGGACUUGCUUCUUUCUGGAAGGAUGCUAGAGACCAGCCAUUCUCUUGACAUCUGUCCCAUUUAAAGAAUUCUGCUCUGGCUACUGGCCUAGUUGUUUCAAAAAACUACACUUAAAAAAAAA
This is a non-coding RNA of Sus scrofa (pig), 4580 nucleotides long. NCBI's taxonomy places the organism in Eukaryota, Metazoa, Chordata, Mammalia, Artiodactyla, Suidae. The record is from RefSeq and is a predicted model, not a curated record.